CACAGUGGAAUAAGGACAGGCUUUGCUAUAGGAGAGACUGGGUUGGAAUGUUGUCUUUGCUGCUUUGAUGCCGUGUGACCUUGUACAGUGAACCUGAGAUCCAGCAAGUCUGAAAUGGCCGCUUGGAUCGCCCAGCUGGAAGGCAGCUGGGAGAGGAGCUGAAUCAAUGCAGCCCGAUGCUCAUACCUGAGCCUGUUCUCCUGCACCUGCUGUGUCAGGGGUGGUGAUGCCAGCCCCUUAUGACUGGGCCGUGGAUGUGAGGGCCUCCGCCCCAGACACACUCGGGCAGCCCUUCUUCGCUUGGGUCCUUUUCCAAACACAGUCUUCGAGGUCUGACACCAGGAGAGAAGAACUCGCAGCUUGUUUUGUGGCUCGCUGCACGGAGAGAGGCCGUUCGGGCCACUGCCAGCCCGGACCCCGCGCUCUGAGGCCACAAUCGCCGCCACCUCAGCUCCGGAAACGGCAACACAGAUGAGAAAGAACCCGCAGAAUCCAGAAGACGACGAGAAUCCCAAGCUGCCGAAAAUUUCCUCCCGUGAUGAGACGCAUUCAGAACAAAAACGUGCAGCCUGAUUUGUCUUUCCCUGAAAUCAAAGGCACUGUUGUAAAGAGACUGCGUUUGCCACACAAAGGUAGCAGAUGUUUGUCGAGAUUUAGCCACACAAGCAUUCGCUCGUUCAGUCUUGGGAGUGUUUCGGUUUUUGAAAAGAGGAACAGUUUUGUGUCAUUCCGCGAUGCUCGGAAGCUUCUGGAACUGGCGCUCAGGUGGGGUGUGGACCAGGGUGGGUUUGCUCCGGAAGGCUCUGCAGGGUGGAAUGGGGCAGGACGAGUCAUACCAUCAAGCGCUCACUGAGCGCCCAGUGUCUACCCAGCUGCAGGUGCAAGGACCUGAGGGCGCCAUGACCUUAAUUCUUGCCUGCAAAGAGUUUCCAAGACUUCCUAGACUCACGGGUGUAGAAAGCCAGUUCUAGAGCUGCCCUUGCUUUUAACUUCCCCCAACAGAUUUCCCUUCCCUCCUUCCAUCCUCUCGCAGAUUUCUCUCCAUCCCUCAUUCCUGGGAGGUAACCAGUCACAGAGACCUGCAUGUUGUGUCCCCCCAAAUGGAAUUCAAAAGCCAUCCUUGUUCCCAUUUGCAAUGCAGAUUCAGUCCCUUCUCCUCACUCCCAUCCACAGGAAACACCCUGGGCACACCUCCCACGCUGUGUCCCAACGAUCUGUUCACUGGUCACACCCGGAACUGCUGGAGAUUAGGUUCACCUUGACUUUCUCAGUAGCCAGCACAGGGCCUGGCAACUUCCUGGGGCUCAUCAGUAGGCACGAGUGGAUGAGGAAGUAAGAGUAAAUAAUGGAAGAGUCCUUUACCUCCUCCCGCCAUGCCCUUCACACCCUUCUGUCUCUGUUCACACAGCUUGCUUUCUUUCUUUCUUUCUUUCUUUAAAAUUUAACAUGCCAACUCCUAUUCAUCCUUCAACACCCAGUGCCCAUGUUACCUCCUUCAGGAAGUCGACCUGACACCUUCAGCCUGUGAGGCUUACUCAUUUCUCCCUCUGUGCUUCUACAGCGCCUUGUGCUUGUGCCCAUCGGAAUAAAUACUUUAAUGAGGAUUGUCUCUGAUUCCUUGUUUGUCCCUGCCAGGGACAGCAAGUAGACUUAGUUUCACAGCUCUGUUCUGCCUGCUGUUGCUGCCUAAAGCAGCGUCGAGUGGAUGCUGAGGGUGCUUUUUCAUCAUUAUAUUCAUAUACAUGUACAUAUAUAAUAUUUAUAUUUUAUACACUGCAUAUAAUUUUUCAGCGUAUGGGAGGGAGCAGGCCCAUUUCCUCAGCAGAAGUAAAUCCAAAGAACAUGACACAGAUGACACAAGGCAAUGAGGCAGACAGGUACACAUGGGCCAGGCUGCUGGCUGGUGCGGCUUCUAGAACAUUCAGCCUGGUUGGUGCAGAGAGACUGAGGACGACUGAUCCCAAGGCCCGCGUGGGGAAGGUGUGUGAAGCUCCCCCUUAGCUUCUGUUCUGUUGCCUGUGCUCGAUGGUUGACAAGAGAGGAAGGACGUUCUCUUGGUUCUUAGCUGACUCCAUGCCAGGCAGACGCUGGGCACUGGACCCUUAACUCUGAUAGUUACGGGAGUGGACGUUAGGGUUAGAAAAAUUGGGUUAGAAACCCUGCUCUGUUACCUCGAGUUGUAUGACUUGGGGCACGUCACUUGCUUAGCUUCUCAAAGCCCCGAUUUCCUUGAAAGGAAAAGGAGCUUCAUGCUAAAAGUCAGCCUUUGUAGACUCCCUGAUAGGUGCCAGGUGGUGCGCUUUGAAGUAUCUAAUCUUCACUGCUAUGACGAGGUAGGUGGCAUUGCUGCCCCCCGUGUUACAGGUGAGAAACCGAGGCUCAGAAUGCUUGGGUAACAUGUCCAAGGUCACUUGGCUGGAAAGGGUCCAGGUCUGGGUAGAAACCCAGACAGCCUGACUUCACAUCCAAUACUCUUAGCCAUGACCCUCAUUUAAAAAAAA
Acinonyx jubatus (cheetah) is the source of this 2501-nucleotide long non-coding RNA. RefSeq lists it as uncharacterized. The transcript has 3 exons. The record is from RefSeq and is a predicted model, not a curated record. Lineage: Eukaryota; Metazoa; Chordata; Mammalia; Carnivora; Felidae.